RNAcentral lists this transfer RNA (74 nucleotides) under Desulfurellales bacterium. RNAcentral's name for it is "tRNA-Met". It matches the Rfam family "tRNA". From Rfam's summary of the family: Transfer RNA (tRNA) molecules are approximately 80 nucleotides in length. Their secondary structure includes four short double-helical elements and three loops (D, anti-codon, and T loops). Further hydrogen bonds mediate the characteristic L-shaped molecular structure. tRNAs have two regions of fundamental functional importance: the anti-codon, which is responsible for specific mRNA codon recognition, and the 3' end, to which the tRNAs corresponding amino acid is attached (by aminoacyl-tRNA synthetases). tRNAs cope with the degeneracy of the genetic code in two manners: having more than one tRNA (with a specific anti-codon) for a particular amino acid; and 'wobble' base-pairing, i.e. permitting non-standard base-pairing at the 3rd anti-codon position. The record is from RNAcentral. Lineage: Bacteria; Pseudomonadati; Campylobacterota; Desulfurellia; Desulfurellales.
UGCGGAAUAGUUUAACGGUAGAACACCAGUCUCAUAAACUGAAUAUGCUAGUUCGAUUCUGGCUUCCGCAACCA